UACGUAGGGUGCAAGCGUUAAUCGGAAUUACUGGGCGUAAAGCGCUCGCAGGUGGUUCGUUGCGUCGUGCGUGAAAUCCCUCGGCUCAACCAAGGAAGUGCUUUCGAAACUGCUGAGCUUGAGUACUUAAGAGGAUCGCGGAAUUCCCGGUGUAGAGGUGAAAUUCGUAGAUAUCGGGAGGAACACCAGUGGCGAAGGCGGCGAUCUGGGAAGAUACUGACGCUGAGGUGCGAAAGCGUGGGGAGCAAACAGG
This 253-nucleotide ribosomal RNA is filed under the name uncultured bacterium. RNAcentral's name for it is "partial 16S ribosomal RNA". It matches the Rfam family "Bacterial small subunit ribosomal RNA", at positions 524 to 776 of the family's 1533-position model. The record is from RNAcentral.